RNAcentral lists this ribosomal RNA (292 nucleotides) under uncultured prokaryote. RNAcentral's name for it is "partial 16S ribosomal RNA". It matches the Rfam family "Bacterial small subunit ribosomal RNA", at positions 505 to 796 of the family's 1533-position model. The record is from RNAcentral.
GUGUCAGCCGCCGCGGUAACACGAACCGGACGAACGUUAUUCGGAAUCACUGGGCUUAAAGAGUCCGUAGGCGGCUUGGUAGGUGACGUGUGAAAUCCCACGGCUCAACCGUGGAACUGCGCGUCAAACCAUCAGGCUAGAGGGAGAUAGAGGAAAGCGGAACUGAUGGUGGAGCGGUGAAAUGCGUUGAUAUCAUCAGGAACACCGGUGGCGAAAGCGGCCUUCUGGGUCUCUUCUGACGCUGAGGGACGAAAGCUAGGGGAGCGAACGGGAUUAGAUACCCUCGUAGUCC